UACAGAGGUCUCAAGCGCUGUUCGGAUUCAUUGGGCGUAAAGGGUGCGUAGGUGGCGCUGUAAGUCGGGUGUGAAAUUUCGGAGCUUAACUCCGAAACUGCAUUCGAUACUGCGGUGCUUGAGGACUGGAGAGGAGACUGGAAUUCAUGGUGUAGCAGUGAAAUGCGUAGAUAUCAGGAGGAAUACCGAUGGCGAAGGCAGGUCUCUGGGCUAUAACUGACGCUCAUGCACGAAAGCGUGGGGAGCAAACAGG
RNAcentral lists this ribosomal RNA (253 nucleotides) under uncultured bacterium. Its description in RNAcentral is "partial 16S ribosomal RNA". It matches the Rfam family "Bacterial small subunit ribosomal RNA", at positions 524 to 776 of the family's 1533-position model. The record is from RNAcentral.